CACCCCUUACCUGCAGCAGCAAACAGCAAGCCCCCAUCCCGUACCAGUGCUGUGAUGAGUCCUCAUUCAGAGCAAAGAUGCACAAAGACGAGGAGGACUCCCAUAGAAACUUGACAAGCCUGACACGGAGAGAGGCGCGGGAGUGAGGCAGCGCGCUCCGAGCAUGACGUGAUGCACUGCUGCUUGUGCGAGGGAAGGGUACAGCCUGCUCGGCGGGGCCGUCACUGAGAUCCUGUUCUUUGUGAGAGGAGCAACCUCUCGGCCUGGAAGAAAGCCAUCUGCGACGCACCCCUUCUUUUUCCAAAGAGCGGGAUCGUGGCGACGCUGCUGAGCUGGCCGGUGGCUGGGGAGGUGGGAAGGAGAGAAAGGGGAAGCACAAGGGAGCAAAGAGAGGGCAACCAGCUGGGAAAGAAAAAGGAGCUUGUAUAAAGGACGGAUCUGACCUGCUCUGACUCCAGAGAAGUGCUUUUGAGGCUGCCUUUUGAGAACCAGGAGGGAAAAGGGCUAGGGAAGUACAAGAUGUUACUGUUUUUAUUAUGUAUUCCAUUUGUAAUUAAAAACCAUAAAUAUAUAUAUAUUUAUUUUUGCCAGGGCUUUUUUAAAGAAUAUUUUCAUCACCCAAGAUAUCGAUCUCAGGCAAGUUUUCACUACCUGGGGAAAGGGAUCAGUAAGCAGCAGUAAGCAGCACACAUUAUUAACACAAUAAUCUCUCCCCACCCCUCAAGCUAAACUCUGAUGGAGAAGACGCUAACACAAGCUCAAAGGCAAAAAGGCUUGUUAAGAUAAACCUGAAAACAAAAUAAUACAAAACAAAACAAAGCACAAUUGCUUCAAGCCUCCCAAAU
This is a long non-coding RNA of Oxyura jamaicensis (ruddy duck), 845 nucleotides long. RefSeq lists it as uncharacterized. The transcript is spliced from 2 exons. The record is from RefSeq and is a predicted model, not a curated record. NCBI's taxonomy places the organism in Eukaryota, Metazoa, Chordata, Aves, Anseriformes, Anatidae.